This 291-nucleotide ribosomal RNA is filed under the name uncultured bacterium. RNAcentral's name for it is "partial 16S ribosomal RNA". It matches the Rfam family "Bacterial small subunit ribosomal RNA", at positions 505 to 796 of the family's 1533-position model. The record is from RNAcentral.
GUGUCAGCCGCCGCGGUAAUACGUAGGGGGCAAGCGUUGUCCGGAAUUAUUGGGCGUAAAGCGCGCGCAGGCGGCCGUUUAAGUCUGGUGUUUAAGCCCGGGGCUCAACCCCGGUUCGCACUGGAAACUGGGCGGCUGGAGUGCAGAAGAGGAGAGUGGAAUUCCACGUGUAGCGGUGAAAUGCGUAGAGAUGUGGAGGAACACCAGUGGCGAAGGCGGCUCUCUGGACUGUAACUGACGCUGAGGCGCGAAAGCGUGGGGAGCAAACAGGAUUAGAUACCCCGGUAGUCC